This 253-nucleotide ribosomal RNA is filed under the name uncultured bacterium. Its description in RNAcentral is "partial 16S ribosomal RNA". It matches the Rfam family "Bacterial small subunit ribosomal RNA", at positions 524 to 776 of the family's 1533-position model. The record is from RNAcentral.
UACAGAGGUCUCAAGCGUUGUUCGGAUUCAUUGGGCGUAAAGGGUGCGUAGGUGGCGAGGUUAGUCAGGUGUGAAAUCUCGGGGCUCAACCCCGAAACUGCACUUGAUACUGCCUUGCUAGAGUACUGGAGAGGAGAUUGGAAUUUACGGUGUAGCAGUGAAAUGCGUAGAUGUCGUAAGGAACGCCAGUGGCGAAAGCGAAUCUCUGGGCAGCAACUGACGCUGAGGCACGAAGGCCAGGGGAGCAAACGGG